Molecule: ribosomal RNA, 789 nt
Filed under: Triticum aestivum (bread wheat)
Lineage: Eukaryota; Viridiplantae; Streptophyta; Magnoliopsida; Poales; Poaceae
Description: partial small subunit ribosomal RNA
Source: RNAcentral
AUGGCCUUCUCGCGCCUUCUCCCCUCCCGCCGCCUCCUCUCCGCCCUCCUCCACACCCCGACCCCGAUCCCCGCCGCGCGCGCCACCGGCCCCGCCGCCGCGACCACCUCCCCGUUCGCCCACACCCUCCAGCCCGCGCGCUUCUUCUCCGCGACGAGGCGGGCCGGGCCGGGCGCCCCGCGGCAGCGCGCGGCGGACAUCGGCGCGCGGGCGCGGCAGCUGCAGAGCCGGCGCCUCUGGACCUACGCGCUCACCUUCGGCUGCGCGGCCGGGUUCGUGGUCACCGUGCUCGCCACGUUCCAGGACCAGCUCGUCUUCUACCUCACCCCCACCGACGCGCUCGCGCGCUUCGCCACCGACCCCUCCAAGACCCGCUGCCGCCUCGGCGGGCUCGUCCUCGAGGGCUCCGUCGCCCACCCCUCCUCCUCCAACUCCGAGAUCGAGUUCGUCGUCACCGACCUCGUCACCGAUGUCCUCGUCCGCUACGAGGGCGCCCUCCCCGACCUCUUCCGCGAGGGCCACUCCGUCGUCGUCGAGGGGUUCCUCAAGCCACUGACCGACGACCUCCGCCGCGACUGGGCAGGGAGAAAGGUCUCCGAUAAGGCGCUGGAGGGCCAGUGCUUCUUGCGCGGCACGGAGGUGCUCGCCAAGCACGACGAGAAGUACAUGCCCAAGGAGGUCGGCGAGGCCAUCGAGCGCAACAAGAAGCAGAUCGAGGCGGAUGCGGCCGCCGCCGCCGCCGAGGAGAACGCGGCGGUUGCGGUGGAUGGAGCCAAAGCAAACUCGUAA